AGAGAAGUUGUUCUAUAAACCUGCAUCUUUGGAAACACCUCAUAAAGUAACUGUGUGAGCUCCUUUACUCAUAGAACUACCUGUUAGAUCCAUGGGAAAGAACGAGAAGACAGAG
Small nucleolar RNA from Bison bison bison, 115 nucleotides. The record is from Ensembl. Lineage: Eukaryota; Metazoa; Chordata; Mammalia; Artiodactyla; Bovidae.